This 305-nucleotide ribosomal RNA is filed under the name uncultured bacterium. RNAcentral describes it as "bacterial SSU rRNA". It matches the Rfam family "Bacterial small subunit ribosomal RNA", at positions 337 to 659 of the family's 1533-position model. The record is from RNAcentral.
ACCUACGGGGCGCAGCAGUGGGGAAUAUUGCACAAUGGGGGAAACCCUGAUGCAGCAAUGCCGCGUGGGUGAAGAAGCACUCCGGUGCGUAAAGCCCUGUCAGCAGGGAAGAAAAUGACAGUACCUGACCAAGAAGCCCCGGCUAACUACGUGCCAGCAGCCGCGGUAAUACGUAGGGGGCAAGCGUUAUCCGGAUUUACUGGGUGUAAAGGGUGCGUAGACGGGAAAUUAAGUUAGUUGUGAAAUCCCUUGGCUUAACUGAGGAACUGCAACUAAAACUGAUUUUCUUGAGUACUGGAGAGGAA